UCUACUGCAUUAAAUUGCGGAAGCAUACUGAAUUGCGCGCCCCACGUCCUGCAGCUGAGGUUGAUGUCGAAGAGGAGAUGGAGAAAGUCAAAUACUGGGCUGAUAGGAGACGUGAGACCUUGGGCAUCGAGGCGAAACUUGAAAUUUAUCAGCGGGAAGUGGAUAUCUUGAAAGAUCUUGACCACGUAUGCACUUUUCCCAUUGAUUCCUGGCAAUUGCUUUGACAAUCCCACAGAUCAAAACUGAUCAGGCAAAUAGCCGAAUAUCGUAAAACUGGAGCAAGUGAUCAUGGGUGAGAACACUGUUUAUAUCUUCCAGGAACUGAUUACCGCAGGAGACCUAUUUUCGUUUCUCGAGUACAAAAAAUUUAACCUCUCUGAUUCGGAGGCGGC
Molecule: small RNA, 392 nt
Filed under: Histoplasma capsulatum var. duboisii H88
Lineage: Eukaryota; Fungi; Ascomycota; Eurotiomycetes; Onygenales; Ajellomycetaceae
Description: Histoplasma capsulatum H88 hypothetical RNA
Source: RNAcentral